GGGUUGGGACCAAGCUAAUUCCCUGAAGUCACCAGCAGGAGGCGCCACAGGGCUGUUGCACUGCCCCGAGCUCCAUCUUCAGUCGAGGAUGGUUGAGAAGAAACUGAGGGGGUUGGGCUGUGCGCACACUGAACAAGACUCUAACGGUGCCGCAAGACAGCUACGGCACACGCAUGGCGCGACCAGUCACUUCUACAGAAAAUCUCUGAUGAACAGCGCUGAAUUGGAGUACCUACAGGGGCCGCACUUGAUGAAGAACUAGAAGUAAAGGGGGUUUGCAACCUGUACUCUGAGAGUUUUUCUGCAGGAAAUCAGAACAUAAGGCAUUUCAGCAUACUGAG
Long non-coding RNA from Gopherus flavomarginatus (Mexican gopher tortoise), 341 nucleotides. RefSeq lists it as uncharacterized. The record is from RefSeq and is a predicted model, not a curated record. The transcript is spliced from 3 exons. NCBI's taxonomy places the organism in Eukaryota, Metazoa, Chordata, Testudines, Testudinidae.